This 1201-nucleotide ribosomal RNA is filed under the name Phytoplasma sp. Its description in RNAcentral is "bacterial SSU rRNA". It matches the Rfam family "Bacterial small subunit ribosomal RNA", at positions 167 to 1378 of the family's 1533-position model. The record is from RNAcentral. Lineage: Bacteria; Bacillati; Mycoplasmatota; Mollicutes; Acholeplasmatales; Acholeplasmataceae.
GACUGGAUAUGAAGUUUUGAGGCAUCUCGAAACUUUUAAAAGACCCGCAAGUAAUGCUGAGAGAUGGGCUUGCGGCACAUUAGUUAGUUGGUAAGGUAAUGGCUUACCAAGACUAUGAUGUGUAGCUGGACUGAGAGGUUGAACGGCCACAUUGGGACUGAGAUACGGCCCAAACUCCUACGGGAGGCAGCAGUAAGGAAUUUUCGGCAAUGGAGGAAACUCUGACCGAGCAACGCCGCGUGAACGAUGAAGUAUUUAGGUACGUAAAGUUCUUUUAUUAAAGAAGAAAAAAUGAUGGAAAAAUCAUUCUGACGGUAUUUAAUGAAUAAGCCCCGGCUAACUAUGUGCCAGCAGCUGCGGUAAUACAUGGGGGGGCAAGCGUUAUCCGGAUUUAUUGGGCGUAAAGGGUGCGUAGGCGGUUAAAUAAGUCUAUGGUAUAAGUUCAACGCUUAACGUUGUGAUGCUAUAGAAACUGUUUGACUAGAGUUGGAUAGAGGCAAGUGGAAUUCCAUGUGUAGCGGUAAAAUGCGUAAAUAUAUGGAGGAACACCAGUAGCGAAGGCGGCUUGCUGGGUCUUAACUGACGCUGAGGCACGAAAGCGUGGGGAGCAAACAGGAUUAGAUACCCUGGUAGUCCACGCCGUAAACGAUGAGUACUAAGUGUUGGGUUAAACCAGUGCUGAAGUUAACACAUUAAGUACUCCGCCUGAGUAGUACGUACGCAAGUAUGAAACUUAAAGGAAUUGACGGGACUCCGCACAAGNNNNNNNNNNNNNNNNUUAAUCGAGAUACACGAAACCUUACCAGGUCUUGACAUACUCUGCAAAGCUGUAGAAAUAUAGUGGAGGUUAUCAGGGAUACAGGUGGUGCAUGGUUGUCGUCAGCUCGUGUCGUGAGAUGUUGGGUUAAGUCCCGCAACGAGCGCAACCCUUAUCACUAGUUACCAUCAUUUAGUUGGGCACUUUAGUGAGACUGCCAAUGAUAAAUUGGAGGAAGGUGGGGAUUACGUCAAAUCAUCAUGCCCCUUAUGACCUGGGCUACAAACGUGAUACAAUGGCUGUUACAAAAGUAGCUGAAACGUGAGUUUUUAGCAAAUCUCAAAAAAACAGUCUCAGUUCGGAUUGAAGUCUGCAACUCGACUUCAUGAAGUCGGAAUCGCUAGUAAUCGCGAAUCAGCAUGUCGCGGUGAAUAGCUUCUCGGG